RNAcentral lists this ribosomal RNA (478 nucleotides) under uncultured bacterium. Its description in RNAcentral is "bacterial SSU rRNA". It matches the Rfam family "Bacterial small subunit ribosomal RNA", at positions 28 to 490 of the family's 1533-position model. The record is from RNAcentral.
GAUGAACGCUGGCGGCGUGCUUAACACAUGCAAGUCGAACGAAGCACCUCUCCCGAAGAUUGACACAGCUUGCUGUAGAUUGAUUCAUUUGAGGUGACUGAGUGGCGGACGGGUGAGUAACGCGUGGGUAACCUGCCUCAUAGAGGGGGACAACAGUUGGAAACGACUGCUAAUACCGCAUAGUAAGAAAGAUUCGCAUGUUUCUUUCUUGAAAGAUUUAUCGCUAUGAGAUGGACCCGCGUCUGAUUAGCUAGUUGGUAAGGUAACGGCUUACCAAGGCAACGAUCAGUAGCCGGCUUGAGAGAGUGAACGGCCACAUUGGGACUGAGACACGGCCCAGACUCCUACGGGAGGCAGCAGUGGGGAAUAUUGCACAAUGGGGGAAACCCUGAUGCAGCGACGCCGCGUGAGUGAAGAAGUAUUUCGGUAUGUAAAGCUCUAUCAGCAGGGAAGAUAAUGACGGUACCUGACUAAGAAG